CUACGUAGGGGGCAAGCGUUAUCCGGAUUUACUGGGUGUAAAGGGAGCGUAGACGGUGUGACAAGUCUGAUGUGAAAACCCGGGGCUCAACUCCGGGAUUGCAUUGGAAACUGCCAUACUUGAGUGCAGGAGAGGUAAGCGGAAUUCCUAGUGUAGCGGUGAAAUGCGUAGAUAUUAGGAGGAACACCGGCGGCGAAGGCGGCUUACUGGACUGUAACUGACGUUGAGGCUCGAAAGCGUGGGGAGCAAACAGGAUUAGAUACCCUGGUAGUCCACGCGGUAAACGAUGAAUACUAGGUGUUGGGGGUCUAUAGACCCUCGGUGCCGCAGCAAACGCAAUAAGUAUUCCACCUGGGGAGUACGUUCGCAAGAAUGAAACUCAAAUGAAUUGACGGGG
This 397-nucleotide ribosomal RNA is filed under the name uncultured bacterium. Its description in RNAcentral is "partial 16S ribosomal RNA". It matches the Rfam family "Bacterial small subunit ribosomal RNA", at positions 523 to 918 of the family's 1533-position model. The record is from RNAcentral.